This 264-nucleotide ribosomal RNA is filed under the name uncultured bacterium. Its description in RNAcentral is "partial 16S ribosomal RNA". It matches the Rfam family "Bacterial small subunit ribosomal RNA", at positions 793 to 1055 of the family's 1533-position model. The record is from RNAcentral.
GUCCACGCCGUAAACGAUGGGUGCUAGACGUUGGCGAGCUUGCUCGUCAGUGUCGCAGCUAACGCGUUAAGCACCCCGCCUGGGGAGUACGGCCGCAAGGUUGAAACUCAAAGGAAUUGACGGGGCCCGCACAAGCGGUGGAGCAUGUGGUUCAAUUCGACGCAACGCGAAGAACCUUACCAGCCCUUGACUUGUGACUCGCCGGGACCAGAGACGGUCCCUUCGGUUCGGCCGGAGUCAACACAGGUGCUGCAUGGCUGUCGU